GGCGUAAAGGGCUUCGCAGGCGGUUUUUUAAGUCUGAAUGUGAAAGCCCCCCGGCUCAACCGGGGAGGGUCAUUGGAAACUUGGGGAACUUGAGUGCAGAAGAGGAGAGUGGAAUUCCACGUGUAGCGGUGAAAUGCGUAGAGAUGUGGAGGAACACCAGUGGCGAAGGCGACUCUCUGGUCUGUAACUGACGCUGAGGAGCGAAAGCGUGGGGAGCGAACAGGAUUAGAUACCCUGGUAGUCCACGCCGUAAACGAUGAGUGCUAAGUGUUAGGGGGUUUCCGCCCCUUAGUGCUGCAGCUAACGCAUUAAGCACUCCGCCUGGGGAGUACGGUCGCAAGACUGAAACUCAAAGGAAUUGACGGGGGCCCGCACAAGCGGUGGAGCAUGUGGUUUAAUUCGAAGCAACGCGAAGAACCUUACCAGGUCUUGACAUCCUCUGACAAUCCUAGAGAUAGGACGUCCCCUUCGGGGGCAGAGUGACAGGUGGUGCAUGGUUGUCGUCAGCUCGUGUCGUGAGAUGUUGGGUUAAGUCCCGCAACGAGCGCAACCCUUGAUCUUAGUUGCCAGCAUUCAGUUGGGCACUCUAAGGUGACUGCCGGUGACAAACCGGAGGAAGGUGGGGAUGACGUCAAAUCAUCAUGCCCCUUAUGACCUGGGCUACACACGUGCUACAAUGGACAGAACAAAGGGCAGCGAAACCGCGAGGUUAAGCCAAUCCCCACAAUCUGUUCUCAGUUCGGAUCGCAUUCUGCAACUCGACUGCGUGAAGCUGGAAUCGCUAGUAAUCGCGGAU
RNAcentral lists this ribosomal RNA (796 nucleotides) under Bacillus subtilis. RNAcentral describes it as "bacterial SSU rRNA". It matches the Rfam family "Bacterial small subunit ribosomal RNA", at positions 557 to 1349 of the family's 1533-position model. Lineage: Bacteria; Bacillati; Bacillota; Bacilli; Caryophanales; Bacillaceae. The record is from RNAcentral.